RNAcentral lists this ribosomal RNA (492 nucleotides) under uncultured bacterium. RNAcentral describes it as "partial 16S ribosomal RNA". It matches the Rfam family "Bacterial small subunit ribosomal RNA", at positions 29 to 507 of the family's 1533-position model. The record is from RNAcentral.
AGUGAACGCUGGCGGUAGGCCUAACACAUGCAAGUCGAACGGCAGCACAGUAAGAGCUUGCUCUUACGGGUGGCGAGUGGCGGACGGGUGAGGAAUACAUCGGAAUCUACUUUUUCGUGGGGGAUAACGUAGGGAAACUUACGCUAAUACCGCAUACGACCUACGGGUGAAAGCAGGGGAUCUUCGGACCUUGCGCGAUUGAAUUAGCCGAUGUCGGAUUAGCUAGUUGGCGGGGUAAAGGCCCACCAAGGCGACGAUCCGUAGCUGGUCUGAGAGGAUGAUCAGCCACACUGGAACUGAGACACGGUCCAGACUCCUACGGGAGGCAGCAGCGGGGAAUAUUGGACAAUGGGCGCAAGCCUGAUCCAGCCAUACCGCGUGGGUGAAGAAGGCCUUCGGGUUGUAAAGCCCUUUUGUUGGGAAAGAAAAGCAGCAGGUUAAUACCCCGCUGUUCUGACGGUACCCAAAGAAUAAGCACCGGCUAACUUCGUG